Molecule: transfer RNA, 59 nt
Filed under: Tenebrionoidea sp. 15 KM-2017
Lineage: Eukaryota; Metazoa; Arthropoda; Insecta; Coleoptera
Description: tRNA-Asn
Source: RNAcentral
AAUUGAAACCAAAAUAGAGGUAUAUCACUGUUAAUGAUAAGAUUGAAACUUUUCCAAUU